RNAcentral lists this ribosomal RNA (435 nucleotides) under uncultured bacterium. Its description in RNAcentral is "partial 16S ribosomal RNA". It matches the Rfam family "Bacterial small subunit ribosomal RNA", at positions 28 to 507 of the family's 1533-position model. The record is from RNAcentral.
GAUGAACGCUGGCGGUAUGCUUAACACAUGCAAGUCGAACGGACUCUUCGGAGUUAGUGGCGGACGGGUGAGUAACGCGUGAGAAUCUGGCUUUGGGUUCGGGACAACCACUGGAAACGGUGGCUAAUACCGGAUGUGCCGAGAGGUAAAAGAGAAAUUGCCUGAAGAUGAGCUCGCGUCUGAUUAGCUAGUUGGUGAGGUAAAGGCUCACCAAGGCAGCGAUCAGUAGCUGGUCUGAGAGGAUGACCAGCCACACUGGGACUGAGACACGGCCCAGACUCCUACGGGAGGCAGCAGUGGGGAAUUUUCCGCAAUGGGCGAAAGCCUGACGGAGCAAUACCGCGUGAGGGAAGAAGGCUCUUGGGUUGUAAGCCUCUUUUCUUAGGGAAGAACAAAAUGACGGUACCUAAGGAAUCAGCAUCGGCUAACUCCGUG